RNAcentral lists this ribosomal RNA (652 nucleotides) under Limosilactobacillus vaginalis. RNAcentral's name for it is "bacterial SSU rRNA". It matches the Rfam family "Bacterial small subunit ribosomal RNA", at positions 56 to 685 of the family's 1533-position model. The record is from RNAcentral. Lineage: Bacteria; Bacillati; Bacillota; Bacilli; Lactobacillales; Lactobacillaceae.
ACUGAUAUGACGUGCUUGCACUGAAUUGACGUUGGAUUACCAGUGAGCGGCGGACGGGUGAGUAACACGUGGGCAACCUGCCCUGAAGCGGGGGAUAACAUCUGGAAACAGGUGCUAAUACCGCAUAACAACGAAAACCACAUGGUUUUCGUUUCAAAGAUGGUUUCGGCUAUCACUUCAGGAUGGGCCCGCGGUGCAUUAGCUAGUUGGUAAGGUAACGGCUUACCAAGGCAAUGAUGCAUAGCCGAGUUGAGAGACUGAUCGGCCACAAUGGAACUGAGACACGGUCCAUACUCCUACGGGAGGCAGCAGUAGGGAAUCUUCCACAAUGGGCGCAAGCCUGAUGGAGCAACACCGCGUGAGUGAAGAAGGGUUUCGGCUCGUAAAGCUCUGUUGUUGGAGAAGAACGUGCGUGAGAGUAACUGUUCACGCAGUGACGGUAUCCAACCAGAAAGUCACGGCUAACUACGUGCCAGCAGCCGCGGUAAUACGUAGGUGGCAAGCGUUAUCCGGAUUUAUUGGGCGUAAAGCGAGCGCAGGCGGUUGCUUAGGUCUGAUGUGAAAGCCUUCGGCUUAACCGAAGAAGGGCAUCGGAAACCGGGCGACUUGAGUGCAGAAGAGGACAGUGGAACUCAUGGGUUGAAGGCGGGGG